This 401-nucleotide long non-coding RNA is filed under the name Carica papaya (papaya). RNAcentral describes it as "long non-coding RNA (CPAP_LNC003395)". Lineage: Eukaryota; Viridiplantae; Streptophyta; Magnoliopsida; Brassicales; Caricaceae. The record is from RNAcentral.
UAGAGAAAAGAAUGGUGAUCACGGUGAUAUAAAAAUUGCAUCGAACGGAGGCCGGGAAGGGCCUCGUCGGAGGCAAAAAACGAGAGGGGGCGCGGCGGCGCCGCUGGGCUUCGGCCGCGUAUUCCGGCCGUUUGGCCGGGAUUUCGGCCUCGAUUUGGCCAUAGGAGGAAUCAACGGGGAAAAACGAGUCGGGGGUAUGAAAUUUACCUCGAUCGGCGGUCGGAAAUUUCCCCGGUGCGGCGGCGAGUGGCGGCGGGUGGCGGCGGUCGGCCUCUGGUUCGUCUUCUCCGGCGAGCGGCUAGCGGCUAGGGUUUUUGGUCUGGUGUGGGGGUUCUAUUUAUAACCCCUUGCCUUUUGAUCACAGCCGUUCAUUUCGUUUUAAUCUGGGCCGUUCGUUUUUG